GCCCAGGAAGUAUUUAACCCUUUGGCGGAGGGGUGUUGUUUCUUUUCGCGCAGAGGCGUCCUUGCAGACGGGGAGAUCUGCAGCCAGAAGAUUGUAGUCAUCUGCUCUUCAGCGGAUCACAAGUCAUCGGCAUGUCUCAGUGUUGCCCGUUCCAUGUUCCUGAGCUGAGAUUGGUUCUUUGCGGAGAUCCUCUGAGAUUAAUUUCCCUUCCUCAGGGUGCUUUGCACUUAUCAGACUUUUAAUGUUCUGCCCAGGUGAGAAGACUCCGAGUCAACAAUGGAGAGUGUCAGAGGCACCAACUUUGCUUUGGAGAGCAAGCAAAGACCAAUCUGUUUAAAUGAUGCGGCACUCAUAAGUUCCUGAAAGUAUUUGGAAGGCGCCUUUCUGGAGAGAAUGCAGGACUCCCUCUGAAAACCAUCCCCUCUGCUGGGCUCCUCUUGUUUCUGUCUGCAGUAGAAAAAAGGUGGUGAAUCUGGACUGCAGUGUGUCCAUGGGAGAUGGGACUACCUGAUGCCAGCCAGGAGCUGGACUGACUCAGAAGCUGCAUCCUAAGCAGAGGGCUUUGCUCUGCUGUAUCUUCGGGGGCUCCUGGGUGAGAGGCCUGAAGGCACUUCAAAUUCCAAGCAUCUAGAACCAGGCAUACUAAAUAACAUAAAUAAAAAUAAAUAAAAUUUGUUAAUCUGUGUCAAAUGUU
Pogona vitticeps (central bearded dragon) is the source of this 694-nucleotide non-coding RNA. The record is from RefSeq and is a predicted model, not a curated record. NCBI's taxonomy places the organism in Eukaryota, Metazoa, Chordata, Lepidosauria, Squamata, Agamidae.